This 506-nucleotide ribosomal RNA is filed under the name uncultured bacterium. Its description in RNAcentral is "partial 16S ribosomal RNA". It matches the Rfam family "Bacterial small subunit ribosomal RNA", at positions 29 to 523 of the family's 1533-position model. The record is from RNAcentral.
AGUGAACGCUGGCGGUAGGCCUAACACAUGCAAGUCGAACGGCAGCACAGGAGAGCUUGCUCUCUGGGUGGCGAGUGGCGGACGGGUGAGGAAUACAUCGGAAUCUACUCUGUCGUGGGGGAUAACGUAGGGAAACUUACGCUAAUACCGCAUACGACCUACGGGUGAAAGCAAGGGACCUUCGGGCCUUGCGCGAUUGAAUGAGCCGAUGUCGGAUUAGCUAGUUGGCGGGGUAAAGGCCCACCAAGGCGACGAUCCGUAGCUGGUCUGAGAGGAUGAUCAGCCACACGGGAACUGAGACACGGUCCAGACUCCUACGGGAGGCAGCAGUGGGGAAUAUUGGACAAUGGGCGCAAGCCUGAUCCAGCCAUACCGCGUGGGUGAAGAAGGCCUUCGGGUUGUAAAGCCCUUUUGUUGGGAAAGAAAUCCAGCUGGCUAAUACCCGGUUGGGAUGAUGGUACCCAAAGAAUAAGCACCGGCUAACUUCGUGCCAGCCGCCGCCGUAA